Molecule: ribosomal RNA, 918 nt
Filed under: uncultured archaeon
Lineage: Archaea
Description: bacterial SSU rRNA
Rfam family: Archaeal small subunit ribosomal RNA
Source: RNAcentral
UUCCGGUUGAUCCUGCCGGAGGCUACUGCUAUCGGGGUUCGAUUAAGCCAUGCGAGUUAAAUGUUCUUCGUGAACAUAGCGAACUGCUCAGUAACACGUGGAUAACCUACCCUUAGGACCGGAAUAACCCCGGGAAACUGGGGAUAAUACCGGAUAAGCCAUAGACGCUGGAAUGCCCUAUGGUUCAAAGCUCCGGCGCCUAAGGAUGGAUCUGCGGUCUAUCAGGUAGUAGUGGGUGUAACGUACCUACUAGCCGACGACGGAUACGGGUUGUAAGAGCAAGAGCCCGGAGAUGGAUUCUGAGACACGAAUCCAGGCCCUACGGGGUGCAGCAGGCGCGAAACCUUUACAAUGUGCGAAAGCAUGAUAAGGGAACUCCGAGUGCCAGUAUCUAAUACUGGCUGUCCUUGUGCCUAAAACGCACAAGAUAGCAAGGGCCGGGUAAGACCGGUGCCAGCCGCCGCGGUAACACCGGCGGCCCGAGUGGUAGCCGCUAUUAUUGGGUCUAAAGGGUCCGUAGCCGGUUCGAUAAGUCCUCUGGGAAAUCUGGUUGCUUAACAAUCAGACUGCCAAGGGAUACUGUCGAACUUGAGACCGGGAGAGGUAAGAGGUACUUUAGGGGUAGGAGUGAAAUCUUGUAAUCCCUGGGGGACCAUCUGUGGCGAAGGCGUCUUACCAGAACGGGUCUGACGGUGAGGGACGAAAGCUGGGGGCGCAAACCGGAUUAGAUACCCGGGUAGUCCCAGCCGUAAACGAUGCUCGCUAUGUGUCAGGUACGGUGUGACCGUAUCUGGUGCCGUAGGGAAGCCGUGAAGCGAGCCACCUGGGAAGUACGGUCGCAAGACUGAAACUUAAAGGAAUUGGCGGGGGAGCACUACAACGGGUGGAGCCUGCGGUUUAAUUGGAUUCAACGCCGGG